UGGUUAAAAAGCUCGUAGUUGGAUCUCAACAGCCUUGAAGCGGUUGACUUUGUAGUUUUACUGCUUUAUAGGCUGCGCUUUUGCUGGAGGUUUAGGGGUGCUCUUGAUCGAGUGUCUCUGGAUGCCAGCAGGUUUACUUUGAAAAAAUUAGAGUGCUCAAAGCAGGCUAAAAUGCCUGAAUAUUCGUGCAUGGAAUAAUAGAAUAGGAUGUCGAUCCUAUUUUGUUGGUUUUCGGGACUCGACAUAAUGAUAAAUAGGGACAGUCGGGGGCAUUUGUAUUCAAACGACAGAGGUGAAAUUCUUGGACCGUUUGAAGACAAACUACUGCGAAAGCAUUUGCCAAGAAUGUUUUCAUUAAUCAAGAACGAAAGUUAGAGGUUCGAAGGCGAUUAGAUACCGCCCUAGUUCUAACCAUAAACGAUGCCAGCUAGCGAUCUGCCUGCGUUUUUACUGUAGACUGGGCAGGAAGCUUCCGGGAAACCAAAGCAUUUGGGUUCCAGGGGAAGUAUGGUUGCAAAGCUGAAACUUAAAGGAAUUGACGGAAGGGCACCACCAGGAGUGGAGCCUGUGGCUUAAUU
This 578-nucleotide ribosomal RNA is filed under the name uncultured marine eukaryote. Its description in RNAcentral is "SSU rRNA". It matches the Rfam family "Eukaryotic small subunit ribosomal RNA", at positions 616 to 1195 of the family's 1831-position model. The record is from RNAcentral.